Populus nigra (black poplar) is the source of this 1406-nucleotide long non-coding RNA. RefSeq lists it as uncharacterized. The transcript has 2 exons. The record is from RefSeq and is a predicted model, not a curated record. NCBI's taxonomy places the organism in Eukaryota, Viridiplantae, Streptophyta, Magnoliopsida, Malpighiales, Salicaceae.
UUUGCGGAGCUCGAACGACCAAACGUCCAUUCCCAUUCCCCAGAUCCCUCAUCUUCUUUCUAACUGUAAAGUAUUCUUUUUGUUUAGAGUGAAUCUCAAGCUUUAAUGGCCUCCCUCAUUCCUCCACCUCCCUGUCACAAACCAUUUUUUAUUUUUUAUUUUACAGCUAAAUCGGUAGUUAAUUCAACUUUCAAUGCCUUAUUUAUUUCUUAAUUAUUAACAAUCAAGCUAGUUUUCAAGGAUUUUAUGCAAGUUAAAUCGGUACCUAAUCUAAUAUUUUUUUUAAAAAUCCGAACCCUUUUUGAAAAAAAGAAGAACAAACACUGAUACCAAUCGAGUUACAAGUAUCUGGCAGUAGUUUAAUCAUGCAAAACAAGGGAGGCUUGAGCCAAUAACAUGGAUUCACCUGCGAUAGCGAAGAAUACAAAUCUUGGUGGAAUAUGUGCAGAUUUCACAUCAAGUGGGAGGACAGGACCACCUAGGCCAAAUCAACACUGCUCUUAUUCUUAUAUUCUCCAUCCCAAUCUAAAGUGCUGGAAACAGACCAAACAUACAUACAUACAUACAUCUUAGAUUCCAAUCAAAUCACAGCCAACAAGAUCUCCACCAUCUGUUAAGAAGCAAGGCACAGAAGAUCAGCAUUCGGUGAGAGUCCAAGGAGAGUGCUUAGCUUUUCAAAGAGGAGGAAAGCACUGCUUUCCUGAUCCUGAUGACAAAGCUGCUUCUGGAUUUGGUGUGUCUGGAGAUCAUGGCAUCAAAUCCUCUGAAGUUUAUGGUUUUGUUGGCUCCAUUACUACCGUUGUUGCUACAGUCAUUUUCUUGGUAUGGGCAUAUGUUCCUGAAAAUUGGUUGCACACAAUUGGAAUCUUUUACUAUCCCAACAAGUCAGUGGCCAUGUUGCUUUGCUUUGACUAGUCUUGUCUUCUACAUUGAGGAAAGUACAUGAUGAGUAGGCCUAGUUGUAACUUGGAUUCUGCUCUUGAGGUACUAGGCAUUGGCUGGGCCAAUUUAUGCCAUGUUGACAAUCUUACUAGCUCUGCUAUCUUACUAUCUGGGCCAAUUUAUGCCAUGUUGACAAUCUUACUAGCUCCGCCCCCAAGCUCCUUGAAUACAACUUUUGGUAUGUUGCUCCUGCAAAUGUGAGAAAUCACUUUUUGGCUCCCGACGAGCUACAUGUUUGUAUGAUGUCGUGCUCUGUGUUGUACAGAUGAAUUCAGUAACGAACCUUCACCCUUCAUUCCAUCGAGGGAGGGAGAUGAGCAGCCCAUCGAACCCAUAUCUGACAAUGGCAUCAACAAAAUAAAAAAAUCUCAUGUUUACUGAUGUAAAAUAAUUGAUAACCUCAUUUUUGUUGAUGAUUGGUGAGAAAUGAAAGAUGCACCAUCGAAAGCUGCUGUUGUGCCAAA